AUACGUAGGUGGCAAGCGUUGUCCGGAUUUACUGGGCGUAAAGGGAGCGUAGGUGGAUAUUUAAGUGGGAUGUGAAAUACCCGGGCUUAACCUGGGUGCUGCAUUCCAAACUGGAUAUCUAGAGUGCAGGAGAGGAAAGUAGAAUUCCUAGUGUAGCGGUGAAAUGCGUAGAGAUUAGGAAGAAUACCAGUGGCGAAGGCGGCUUUCUGGACUGUAACUGACACUGAGGCUCGAAAGCGUGGGGAGC
RNAcentral lists this ribosomal RNA (247 nucleotides) under uncultured bacterium. RNAcentral's name for it is "partial 16S ribosomal RNA". It matches the Rfam family "Bacterial small subunit ribosomal RNA", at positions 523 to 769 of the family's 1533-position model. The record is from RNAcentral.